GCUUACCAUGCAAGUCGAACGAUGAACCGCUUUCGGGCGGGGAUUAGUGGCGAACGGGUGAGUAACACGUGGGCAAUCUGCCCUGCACUCUGGGACAAGCCCUGGAAACGGGGUCUAAUACCGGAUAUGACCGUCUGCCGCAUGGUGGAUGGUGUAAAGCUCCGGCGGUGCAGGAUGAGCCCGCGGCCUAUCAGCUUGUUGGUGAGGUAGUGGCUCACCAAGGCGACGACGGGUAGCCGGCCUGAGAGGGCGACCGGCCACACUGGGACUGAGACACGGCCCAGACUCCUACGGGAGGCAGCAGUGGGGAAUAUUGCACAAUGGGCGAAAGCCUGAUGCAGCGACGCCGCGUGAGGGAUGACGGCCUUCGGGUUGUAAACCUCUUUCAGCAGGGAAGAAGCGAAAGUGACGGUACCUGCAGAAGAAGCGCCGGCUAACUACGUGCCAGCAGCCGCGGUAAUACGUAGGGCGCAAGCGUUGUCCGGAAUUAUUGGGCGUAAAGAGCUCGUAGGCGGCUUGUCACGUCGGUUGUGAAAGCCCGGGGCUUAACCCCGGGUCUGCAGUCGAUACGGGCAGGCUAGAGUUCGGUAGGGGAGAUCGGAAUUCCUGGUGUAGCGGUGAAAUGCGCAGAUAUCAGGAGGAACACCGGUGGCGAAGGCGGAUCUCUGGGCCGAUACUGACGCUGAGGAGCGAAAGCGUGGGGAGCGAACAGGAUUAGAUACCCUGGUAGUCCACGCCGUAAACGGUGGGCACUAGGUGUGGGCAACAUUCCACGUUGUCCGUGCCGCAGCUAACGCAUUAAGUG
Molecule: ribosomal RNA, 805 nt
Filed under: Streptomyces violascens
Lineage: Bacteria; Bacillati; Actinomycetota; Actinomycetes; Kitasatosporales; Streptomycetaceae
Description: bacterial SSU rRNA
Rfam family: Bacterial small subunit ribosomal RNA
Source: RNAcentral